UGUGGGAGCUGGCUUGCCAGCGAUGACGGCGGCACAUUCAGCACAAUGUUGUCUGUCAGUCCGCUAUCGCUGGCAAGCCAGCUCCCACA
This 89-nucleotide non-coding RNA is filed under the name Pseudomonas sp. LAIL14HWK12:I2. Lineage: Bacteria; Pseudomonadati; Pseudomonadota; Gammaproteobacteria; Pseudomonadales; Pseudomonadaceae. The record is from RNAcentral.